CAAAGAAGGCCUUGCCAAAUAUCCCAGAAUUCCUUACAAUUAAUAAGUCUUGCAGUUAGAGUUGCUCUCUUGGUCCUUUCUGAGGUUUACUCAUGAUCCUGCUUAGAAAAAUAUGGGGAAAUCUUUCUAGUAGUGAAACACAAGGUGUAGUAGAUUAUGUAACAGUCACAAUGCCUAUUCUUGCUAUCUGCAGCUUCCUUGAUGGGAUUCAAAGUGUUCUUUCAGGGUCUUUGGUUGGGGAUUGUUUCUGCAUUCAUGGUGCAAGUGAAAUUUUUUGCUGUCAUUACUAUCAGAACUAGCUGGGAGAAAGAAGCAACUAAACCAGCAAGGAGAGUCAAAAGUAGCAGAGUCCCUCCUAGAGAAGGUGUAGAAGGAGCAAAAGAUACUUUAGAGAAUGAGACUUAGUUUGAGUUUAGUAAUGAUGAAAAACUUUUACACUUAUAGCAAUAAACACAAUUUGA
This 461-nucleotide small RNA is filed under the name Vigna angularis var. angularis. Its description in RNAcentral is "Non-protein coding transcript". Lineage: Eukaryota; Viridiplantae; Streptophyta; Magnoliopsida; Fabales; Fabaceae. The record is from RNAcentral.